Molecule: long non-coding RNA, 433 nt
Filed under: Capsicum annuum
Lineage: Eukaryota; Viridiplantae; Streptophyta; Magnoliopsida; Solanales; Solanaceae
Description: long non-coding RNA (CANN_LNC001328)
Source: RNAcentral
GAGGAUAAAGGUAAGCAACAAAUGGAUAAAAAAGCAGUAAGGAAAGAAAAAAAAGAAGGAAGAGAGAAGCAAUGUCACUUGAGGAGUUAGACCAACAUAACCUGAAAAGAGCAACAAAAAAGUCAAAUAAAGAAUCAAAAAAAAGUAAAGAGAGGCAGAAAAUGAAGCGGCAGGAGUCUCUACUAGUGCUGCCCCAGAAAGGGGAUGAUGUGCAGGAUCAGUUCGGGAGACGAUUCCUCCAAUUGUGGAGGGUGAGGUUGUGAGUACUCCUACCACUAUAGGGGCCAACAUUGCACUGGGUGAGGACACAGGGACCUUACCACACCUGAUAGAUGCCUUAGAGGAGUAAGAGGCGAUAUAAAUAUCCUAAUCCAACCAUGUACGGUAAUUUAUUGCUUUGAGGACAAUGCUUAUCUUUCUAUGUGGGGGUGGG